This 427-nucleotide ribosomal RNA is filed under the name uncultured bacterium. RNAcentral's name for it is "partial 16S ribosomal RNA". It matches the Rfam family "Bacterial small subunit ribosomal RNA", at positions 355 to 774 of the family's 1533-position model. The record is from RNAcentral.
UGGGGAAUAUUGCACAAUGGGCGCAAGCCUGAUGCAGCCAUGCCGCGUGUAUGAAGAAGGCCUUCGGGUUGUAAAGUACUUUCAGCGGGGAGGAAGGUGUUGAGGUUAAUAACCUCAGCAAUUGACGUUACCCGCAGAAGAAGCACCGGCUAACUCCGUGCCAGCAGCCGCGGUAAUACGGAGGGUGCAAGCGUUAAUCGGAAUUACUGGGCGUAAAGCGCACGCAGGCGUUCUGUCAAGUCGGAUGUGAAAUCCCCGGGCUCAACCUGGGAACUGCAUUCGAAACUGGCAGGCUAGAGUCUUGUAGAGGGGGGUAGAAUUCCAGGUGUAGCGGUGAAAUGCGUAGAGAUCUGGAGGAAUACCGGUGGCGAAGGCGGCCCCCUGGACAAAGACUGACGCUCAGGUGCGAAAGCGUGGGGAGCAAACA